UGUUUCGGCUAGGGGGCCAUCCCGGCUUACCAACCCGAUGCAAACUGCGAAUACCGGAGAAUGUUAUCACGGGAGACACACGGCGGGUGCUAACGUCCGUCGUGAAGAGGGAAACAACCCAGACCGCCAGCUAAGGUCCCAAAGUCAUGGUUAAGUGGGAAACGAUGUGGGAAGGCCCAGACAGCCAGGAUGUUGGCUUAGAAGCAGCCAUCAUUUAAAGAAAGCGUAAUAGCUCACUGGUCGAGUCGGCCUGCGCGGAAGAUGUAACGGGGCUAAACCAUGCACCGAAGCUGCGGCAGCGAACGUAUCACUUAAAGCGAUUCAGCGGGUUACGAUUGACGGAGCGAAGCGACGUCAAAGCGUAUACAAAGUCGAGUCGGUUUAAGGAUACGUUCGUUGGGUAGGGGAGCGUUCUGUAAGCCUGUGAAGGUGGCCUGUGAGGGUUGCUGGAGGUAUCA
This 458-nucleotide ribosomal RNA is filed under the name Salmonella enterica subsp. enterica serovar Newport. Its description in RNAcentral is "partial 23S ribosomal RNA". It matches the Rfam family "Bacterial large subunit ribosomal RNA", at positions 911 to 1284 of the family's 2925-position model. Lineage: Bacteria; Pseudomonadati; Pseudomonadota; Gammaproteobacteria; Enterobacterales; Enterobacteriaceae. The record is from RNAcentral.